Molecule: ribosomal RNA, 1593 nt
Filed under: Triticum aestivum (bread wheat)
Lineage: Eukaryota; Viridiplantae; Streptophyta; Magnoliopsida; Poales; Poaceae
Description: partial small subunit ribosomal RNA
Source: RNAcentral
AUGGAUGACGACGAGGAGGAGCAGCUGGAGAAGGAGGAGGAGGUGGCCGAGACGGGGAUCGACUCCCAGUGCAUUUGCUCUUUGCUCCAUAUAAACAAGAUUUUCGAGGUAGGAAUAUCAGAGCAUCUGGCAAAUAAGUUGCAACAUAUGAGCAUUGACUUGGUUGAAAAGGCAAAUUCUUCAAUUACAGCAGAGCUGGAUUAUGUAUCGAAUCUGGUGAUUGGUGUCAUUGACGUACAACGGAGUAAGGAAAAAGGCUAUGAAACAUUGGUGAAAGAAAAUUUAUGUGAUGAGUUGGAUGAACUGAGGAUGGUGUAUGAAGAAUUACCUGACUUUCUGGAGCAGGUUUCAGCUAAUGAAAAUGCCUCCUUCCCUUUCUCGCUUGAAUGCAGAAAAGCUCCGCUUAUUGUCUAUGUACACCAAAUAGGAUACUUGAUGUGUUUUUUUGAUGAGAAGAUAAGUGAGGCCUUGUUAAUAGGACUUCAAGAUUUUGAAUUUGCGUUUUCAGAGGAUGGGGAAGAGAGAAGGUUCUACUACCAUACUCAAAAGACAAGAGAGCUGGACAACCUUCUGGGAGAUAUUUAUCAUAAAAUUCUUGACAUGGAAAGAGCAAUCAUAAGGGAUCUAGUAUGCCGUGUUCUUCAGUUUCUACCUCAACUGACAAAAGCAGUGAACUUUGCAGCAGAACUUGAUUGUAUUUUAUCAUUGGCAAUUGUUGCGCGCCAAAACAAUUAUGUGAGGCCCAUCUUAACUGAGGAUUCCAUACUUGAGAUACAGAAUGGAAGACAUGCUUUGCAGGAAAUGACAGUUGACACAUUUGUUCCAAAUGAUACGAAAAUCCGCAGUGCAGGAAGAAUAAACAUAAUAACUGGACCUAACUAUUCAGGGAAAAGCAUUUACAUUAAGCAGGUUGCAUUGGUGGUUUUUCUUGCUCAUAUCGGAAGCUUUGUUCCUGCUGAUUCUGCUGUUGUUGGAUUGACUGAUAGGAUAUUCUGUGCAAUGGGAAGCAAGUCAAUGACAACUGAGCAGUCAACAUUUAUGAUUGAUUUACAUCAAGUUGGAACAAUGCUCAGGCAUGCAACAUCGAGUUCACUGUGCUUGUUAGAUGAAUUCGGCAAGGGUACUCUAACAGAAGAUGGUAUUGGUUUGCUUGGAGGGACUAUCAGUCAUUUUGCAAAUUAUGAUUAUCCUCCAAAGGUCCUUUUGUCAACACAUCUGACGGAGAUUUUCACCGAAAAUUACUUACCACAGUCUGAACAUAUAAAAUGCUGUACCAUGAGUGUUCUGAAUCCUGAUGGACAGACAAGCAAUGAAGAUAUCAUAUUCCUUUACAGACUUGUACCUGGACAGGCACUCUUGAGCUUUGGACUUCAUUGUGCACAGCUUGCUGGUGUCCCCGGUGAAGUUAUUCAAAGAGCUGCUAGUGUUCUGGAGGACAUCCAUUCCAAGAGACCUGUAAGGCGCAUGAUCGAUGAUAAUUUGGCGGCAAAGGACAAGCAAUACCAGGAUGCAAUGGCAAAAUUGUUGGCCUUCGAUCCGCGCAAAGGUGAUCUGAACCACUUCUUUGAGGACGUAUUCCCCCCUGAGGCGUAG